Molecule: ribosomal RNA, 752 nt
Filed under: Oligacanthorhynchus tortuosus
Lineage: Eukaryota; Metazoa; Acanthocephala; Archiacanthocephala; Oligacanthorhynchida; Oligacanthorhynchidae
Description: partial 28S large subunit ribosomal RNA
Rfam family: Eukaryotic large subunit ribosomal RNA
Source: RNAcentral
AAAGUACUUUGAAAAGAGAGUUCAAUAGCACGUGAAACUGUACAUUGAAAAGCGGAUGAGAGCACAUGCACUGAAUGAAGUAAUUCACCUUCAUGCGUUGUGUAAGUCAAUGUAUGAUAUGUUGACAUGAAAUAUCAAAGUAUGAAGCGCAUUCUACUUAUUCACAAGCUGUUCAGGUUCAGUCUUACGCUAGUCACAUGUAUCGUACGUUUGAUCUUAUGAUCAUACGAGUUUCAUGAGUAGCGCGCGAAAAUGAACCUAGAAACAAUGUUUGGCAAGCACAUAAAUGUCAGUAUGUGUGGUUAGAGCAACUGCUUUGAAAAAAGCAGAUUGAAUUUUCCCCCAUGCUGCGUGCAUUCAGCUAUGUCAAACUAACGAAGAACAGUGAAAUGUGUGCGGUAUCAUCCGAACCGUCUUGAAACACGGGCUAAGGAGUUCAACCUGUACGCGAGUUUUCUUGUUUACAGAUGAAACUGGAAAGCGUAGUGAAAGCAAACUUGUAAAGAGUGCGUGCAAACUGUUCAUUAAUAUGGACGGAUGAGCACUGGUGAUGGGUGGUACGCAAAUUUUGAGCUACUGUCUGCAACAGAGCGUAUAAGUUGAGACCCGAAAGAUGGUGAACUAUGCCUGAGCAGGAUGAAGCCAGAGGAAACUCUGGUGGAGGUCCGUAGCGCUUUUGACGUGCAAAUCAAUCGUCUAACUUGGGUAUAGGGGCGAAAGACUAAUCGAACCAUCUAGUAGCUGGUUCCCUU